RNAcentral lists this ribosomal RNA (480 nucleotides) under uncultured bacterium. RNAcentral's name for it is "partial 16S ribosomal RNA". It matches the Rfam family "Bacterial small subunit ribosomal RNA", at positions 28 to 507 of the family's 1533-position model. The record is from RNAcentral.
GAUGAACGCUAGCGGCAGGCCUAACACAUGCAAGUCGAGGGGGAAGUUACUCUCGGGUGACUGAGACCGGCGUACGGGUGCGUAACGCGUAUACAAUCUGCCUUUCACUGGGGGAUAGCCCGAAGAAAUUUGGAUUAAUACCCCAUAGUAUAUAGGGACGGCAUCGUUUUUAUAUUAAAGCUUAGGUGGUGAAAGAUGAGUAUGCGUUCUAUUAGCUAGUUGGAGAGGUAACGGCUCCCCAAGGCGAUGAUAGAUAGGGGUUCUGAGGGGGAUGUCCCCCACACUGGUACUGAGAUACGGACCAGACUCCUACGGGAGGCAGCAGUGAGGAAUAUUGGACAAUGGUCGGAAGACUGAUCCAGCCAUGCCGCGUGCAGGAUGAAGGUCUUAUGGAUUGUAAACUGCUUUUGGAAGGGAAGAAUAAGGGCUACGCGUAGUUUGAUGACGGUACCUUACGAAUAAGCAUCGGCUAACUCCGUG